This 480-nucleotide ribosomal RNA is filed under the name uncultured bacterium. RNAcentral's name for it is "bacterial SSU rRNA". It matches the Rfam family "Bacterial small subunit ribosomal RNA", at positions 33 to 507 of the family's 1533-position model. The record is from RNAcentral.
ACGACGCUGGCGGCGUGCCUAACACAUGCAAGUCGAGCGGAGUCGAUCGACGGAAGCCUUCGGGCGGAAGAUGGUUGACUUAGCGGCGGAUGGGUGAGUAACGCGUGGGCAACCUGCCUCGAAGACCGGGAUAACAGCCCGAAAGGGCUGCUAAUACCGGAUGUGGUCAAGGAUCCGCAUGGAUUUUGAUUAAAGGGGAAACCCGUUUCGAGAUGGGCCCGCGUCCUAUCAGCUAGUUGGUGAGGUAAAAGCUCACCAAGGCGACGACGGGUAGCCGGCCUGAGAGGGUGACCGGCCACACUGGAACUGAGACACGGUCCAGACUCCUACGGGGGGCAGCAGUGGGGAAUCUUCCACAAUGGGCGAAAGCCUGAUGGAGCGACGCCGCGUGAGCGAAGAAGGCCUUCGGGUUGUAAAGCUCUGUCUGGAGGGACGAAGGAAGUGACGGUACCUCCGGAGGAAGCCACGGCUAACUACGUG